RNAcentral lists this ribosomal RNA (446 nucleotides) under uncultured bacterium. RNAcentral's name for it is "partial 16S ribosomal RNA". It matches the Rfam family "Bacterial small subunit ribosomal RNA", at positions 329 to 792 of the family's 1533-position model. The record is from RNAcentral.
UUCCAGACUCCUACGGGAGGCAGCAGUGGGGAAUAUUGCACAAUGGGGGGAACCCUGAUGCAGCGACGCCGCGUGGGUGAAGGAGCACCUCGGUGCGUAAAGCCCUAUCGGCAGGGAAGAAACAGACGGUACCUGACUAAGAAGCCCCGGCUAACUACGUGCCAGCAGCCGCGGUAAUACGUAGGGGGCAAGCGUUAUCCGGAUUCACUGGGUGUAAAGGGAGCGUAGACGGCGACGCAAGUCUGGAGUGAAAGCCCGGGGCCCAACCCCGGGACUGCUCUGGAAACUGCGGCGCUGGAGUACGGGAGGGGCAGGCGGAAUUCCUGGUGUAGCGGUGAAAUGCGUAGAUAUCAGGAGGAACACCAGUGGCGAAGGCGACUUUCUGGACUGUACCUGACGCUGAGGCGCGAAAGCGUGGGUAGCGAACGGGAUUAGAUACCCCCGUA